CCUACGGGUGGCAGCAGUGAGGAAUAUUGGACAAUGGUCGGAAGACUGAUCCAGCCAUGCCGCGUGCAGGAUGAAGGUCUUAUGGAUUGUAAACUGCUUUUGUAAGGGAAGAAUAAGAGCUACGCGUAGUUUGAUGACGGUACCUUACGAAUAAGCAUCGGCUAACUCCGGGCCAGCAGCCGCGGUAAUACGGAGGAUGCGAGCGUUAUCCGGAAUCAUUGGGUUUAAAGGGUCCGUAGGCGGGCUAAUAAGUCAGAGGUGAAAGCGUUCAGCUCAACUGAGCAACUGCCUUUGAAACUGUUGGUCUUGAAUGGUUGUGAAGUAGUUGGAAUGGGUAGUGUAGCGGUGAAAUGCUUAGAUAUUACAAAGAACACCGAUAGCGAAGGCAUAUUACUAACAAUUAAUUGACGCUGAUGGACGAAAGCGUGGGGAGCGAACAGGAUUAGAUACCCGUGUAGUC
Molecule: ribosomal RNA, 460 nt
Filed under: uncultured Capnocytophaga sp.
Lineage: Bacteria; Pseudomonadati; Bacteroidota; Flavobacteriia; Flavobacteriales; Flavobacteriaceae
Description: bacterial SSU rRNA
Rfam family: Bacterial small subunit ribosomal RNA
Source: RNAcentral